Monodelphis domestica (gray short-tailed opossum) is the source of this 693-nucleotide non-coding RNA. Lineage: Eukaryota; Metazoa; Chordata; Mammalia; Didelphimorphia; Didelphidae. The record is from RefSeq and is a predicted model, not a curated record.
CCUCCUCAUAAUCUUCCCCUGAUUUUCAGCCUUACCCAACGGAGUCUGUGGAACAAAGGUUCCGUCGAACUCAACUGUCCCGGGGCUGUGAGGAUAUCUACCCUUCAGAGGACUUGUGCUCUUCAAUCAGACCAGAGCUCCACCCCAAAGGAUGCUCUGUUGAUGAAAACAGAAGUAUAAAGGCUGUAUCAAGGGAUCUGAAAUGCAGCAUUGGGGUCGCUGCAGCCAAGGUAUCUGGUGAAUUGGUCUGUGCAGUUCAGGUCUUCUUAGAGCCAUCAACAAUGACACCCCGGAGGUAUAUAUUAUUACUGUACUUUUCCCUUGCUCCUCUCGAUUUUUACUGUGGCUUUCUCUACUACUGUAGAUUGAGAGGAAAUGAUGCUUAUUUUCCUCUGCAUGAUUUGCCGUAUCUCAAGGCAGCUGGAAAUCAAAAUUAUCAUAGUUUCAAACUUUACUGCCCAGGCAAUGAAGGAUAAUUUCAGUGAAUAAUCCUGAUGGAUGCACUGCUGCAAUAUAGUUAAGACUCCAUCAACAUCUAUUUUUGACUCUCCCUUUGAGGAAGGACAGAGCUUACUGAGCAAGAACUUUUCUAGCUUUAGCCAAUCAGCUGAGAACUCCAGCCUCUUCCCGUUACUAUGGGAUACAGAGGAGAUGGAUGUAGUCACAUGCCUUCAGCAUAAGACUACAGUUGAA